GACGAACGCUGGCGGCGUGCCUAAUACAUGCAAGUUGAGCGAUGAAGAUUGGUGCUUGCACCAAUUUGAAGAGCAGCGAACGGGUGAGUAACGCGUGGGGAAUCUGCCUUUGAGCGGGGGACAACAUUUGGAAACGAAUGCUAAUACCGCAUAACAACUUUAAACAUAAGUUUUAAGUUUGAAAGAUGCAAUUGCAUCACUCAAAACUGAUCCCGCGUUGUAUUAGCUAGUUGGUGAGGUAAAGGCUCACCAAGGCGAUGAUACAUAGCCGACCUGAGAGGGUGAUCGGCCACAUUGGGACUGAGACACGGCCCAAACUCCUACGGGAGGCAGCAGUAGGGAAUCUUCGGCAAUUGACGAAAGUCUGACCGAGCAACGCCGCGGGAGUGAAGAAGGGUUUCGGAUCGUAAAACUCGGUUGGUAGAGAAGAACGUUGGUGAGAGUGGAAAGCUCAUCAAGUGACGGUAACUACACAGAAAGGGACGGCUAACUACGUG
RNAcentral lists this ribosomal RNA (497 nucleotides) under uncultured bacterium. Its description in RNAcentral is "partial 16S ribosomal RNA". It matches the Rfam family "Bacterial small subunit ribosomal RNA", at positions 28 to 507 of the family's 1533-position model. The record is from RNAcentral.